AUCGCUUCUCGACCUUUUGGCUAAGAUCAAGUGUAGUAUCUGUUCUUAUCAGUGUUUGAUUGCUAAAGUGAAACUGUAGACUGUGAGGAAAAUCAGGACCCCCA
Molecule: small nuclear RNA, 104 nt
Filed under: Chlorocebus sabaeus (green monkey)
Lineage: Eukaryota; Metazoa; Chordata; Mammalia; Primates; Cercopithecidae
Description: U2 spliceosomal RNA
Rfam family: U2 spliceosomal RNA
About the family: U2 is a small nuclear RNA (snRNA) component of the spliceosome (involved in pre-mRNA splicing). Complementary binding between U2 snRNA (in an area lying towards the 5' end but 3' to hairpin I) and the branchpoint sequence (BPS) of the intron results the bulging out of an unpaired adenosine, on the BPS, which initiates a nucleophilic attack at the intronic 5' splice site, thus starting the first of two transesterification reactions that mediate splicing.
Source: Rfam by way of RNAcentral